Molecule: ribosomal RNA, 1341 nt
Filed under: Triticum aestivum (bread wheat)
Lineage: Eukaryota; Viridiplantae; Streptophyta; Magnoliopsida; Poales; Poaceae
Description: partial small subunit ribosomal RNA
Source: RNAcentral
AUGGACGCCGCUGGGGUGAUCGGGUGUUUCAGGGACAGGAGCAUCCUAAUCACCGGCUCCACGGGCUUCCUCGGGAAAAUGCUGGUGGAGAAGAUCCUAAGGGUCCAGCCAGAUGUGAGGAAGCUCUACCUCAUUGUGCGCGCGGCCGACACCGCAUCCGCCGAGAAUCGUGUGCUCACCGAGAUAUUCUGUACAGGUUGUAGGAACAAAACUCGAAGCAAGCAUGGAGCUGAUUUCAACUCUUUUAUUACAAAUAAAAUUACCGCUCUACCUGGAGACAUCAUUAAGGAAACCUGUGCACUUAGGAACUCUAUGGUUGAACAGAUCUAUGAAGAGAUCCAUGUCAUUGUGAGUGUAGCUGCAACUACCAGCUUGUACGAGAGAUAUGACGUCGCUCUAGCAUCAAAUACCUUAGGAGUUGCCCACGUGUGCGAUUUAGCAAAGAAGUGUGCUAAUCUCAAAAUGUUGCUUCAUGUUUCCACUGCUUUCGUAGCCGGGGAGCAAGAAGGCCUGUUAGUGGAGAAACCGCUCGAUGCAGGCAAAGCACUAAGGAAAGAUUAUAGCUUGGACAUUCAAUCUGAGUUAAAAUUAGUUGAGAGUGUCAAGUCAAAACUCAGGGUGCAAUUCUCUGACGAUAAGAUAGAGAAAAGAAAAAUGAAGGAACUCGGAUUGAAAAGGACAAUGGAUAUGUUGUACGUAGCCUACAAUGACCAAAAACUUCAAUGUUUCAUCUUCAAUCGUAAUGUCAUAAUCGAUGUGAUACCGGGAGACAUGGUGAUUAAUGCACUGAUGGUUGCUAUGGCCCUUCAUUGGGAGAAGCAUGGAACCCAAGCAAUUUACCAUGUAACAUCGGGACAUCGGAACCCACUGCGUGGCUCCACUUUUCUGGAAUCAUUCUAUGAGUACUUCCACUCUAAUCCUCGUGUAACCAAGGAUGGGAGGAUUGUCAAGCAUGGAAGGGUGACAUUAUUCAAAAAAUACACAUUUUUCUCUUUAUACAUGAUCUUGCGGUAUAAGCUAGCACUAGAGGCGUUCCAUGUGAUGAGUGUAUUUGGACAUUCAUUGUCCCAACAUUACAACAAGCUCAACCGUGGCUACAAAUUCUUGAUACUUAUCGCAAAGUUGUACGCUCCAUAUGCAUUCUUUAAAGGGUGCUUUGACGACACGAACAUGAAAAAAUUGUGGGCAAUAACCGCUACAGGAGAGCUGGACGAUGGCUCCACGUUCGAUUGUGAUCCUGCAUGCAUCGACUGUGGCUCAUACCUCAUCAACACACACAUUCCGGCUGCUCUGAUGUAUGCUUCCAACAAUAAUCAGAUGAAGAAAGCUGGCAGUGCAUAG